Molecule: long non-coding RNA, 838 nt
Filed under: Trifolium pratense (red clover)
Lineage: Eukaryota; Viridiplantae; Streptophyta; Magnoliopsida; Fabales; Fabaceae
Description: long non-coding RNA (TPRA_LNC011989)
Source: RNAcentral
UUCUAUCUUUCUCUCGUUUCUUCUCUGUUCUACUUUCUCCAUGAUGAUUCGAUUUCGAAUUAUUGAUUCUAAAGUUCUUCGCUUUUUUUUUUGAAAUCCGUUGCUAAAGUUUUAUUGCUACAUGAUAUCUUGAUUUCAGGUUUUGCCGUUGUUGAUUUCUUUGAUCUAUCGCUAUAAAGAACCCUAGGAUUUUCGGAUUAUAGAUAUCAAGAAUUUCGUAAUUCUUUUAAUCUUCUUUUAUUGAUCAGUUAUCGAGACUUGUUUGCAUAAUUUUUGGAUUAUUGGAUGUAAUUCUUCUUCAUUGGAUAACCGAGAUACGUGUUUCCGUUUUGCAGCUAGAUGAUGAAUCUAGAUCAGUUUUGCGUUGCGAUUGUUGAUAUUGUGGAUAACAACAGAGAACGGUUCCAGAUAAAUUGAAUUGAACUGUGAACAUGAUUCUGAAUUCUUGAUUCUAAAGUUUAGUUUUUUUGGUUCAUAAGAUCCGUUGCUCAGACUUGUUUGAUUCGUCAUGUUUGGAUUUCUGGCUUUGCUUUGUUGAUCUGAAGGGCAUUUCUUGAUUUCCUCUUGGAUUCUGGUUUCUUGAUUCUAAAAGUUGAUUUUUCACGUUUCUUGAUUUGUUAUCUUGAUUUCAGGGAUCGCUGUUAUUGUUUUCUUUGAUUUUCUCAUAUUGCAGAUAUCAAGAAUUUCACAUGAUCACACUUCUAUUCACUCUUCUUUUAAGCAUCAUCGGUUAUCAAUAAUUAUUUCAAUAACUUUUGUAUAUGAUUCUUCAGUUGAUAAUCGAGUUAUACAUUUAUCUGUUUUGCUUUUGCAGUGAGCUGAAAAGUUUUUGAUGUCU